GUGGAUUAGAUACCCUGGUAGUCCACGCCCUAAACGAUGUCAACUAGCUGUUGGGGUUUUAUAGCCUUGGUAGCGCAGCUAACGCGAGAAGUUGACCGCCUGGGGAGUACGGUCGCAAGAUUAAAACUCAAAGGAAUUGACGGGGACCCGCACAAGCGGUGGAUGAUGUGGAUUAAUUCGAUGCAACGCGAAAAACCUUACCUACCCUUGACAUGUCUGGAAUUCUGAAGAGAUUUAGGAGUGCUCGUAAGAGAACCGGAACACAGGUGCUGCACGGUUGUCGCCAGCU
RNAcentral lists this ribosomal RNA (289 nucleotides) under uncultured bacterium. RNAcentral's name for it is "partial 16S ribosomal RNA". It matches the Rfam family "Bacterial small subunit ribosomal RNA", at positions 773 to 1060 of the family's 1533-position model. The record is from RNAcentral.